CCUACGGGAGGCUGCAGUGGGGAAUAUUGGGCAAUGGGCGCAAGCCUGACCCAGCAACGCCGCGUGAAGGAAGAAGGCUUUCGGGUUGUAAACUUCUUUUAAGAGGGAAGAGCAGAAGACGGGACCUCGGGAAUAAGCCACGGCUAACGACGUGCCAGCAGCCGCGGUAAUACGUAGGUGGCAAGCGUUGUCCGGAUUUACUGGGUGUAAAGGGCGUGUAGCCGGGCUGACAAGUCAGAUGUGAAAUUCCGGGGCUCAACCCCGGACCUGCAUUUGAAACUGUUGGUCUUGAGUAUCGGAGAGGCAGGCGGCCUUCCUAGUGUAGCGGUGAAAUGCGUAGAUAUUAGGCGGAACACCAGUGGCGAAGGCGGCCUGCUGGACGACAACUGACGGUGAGGCGCGAAAGCGUGGGGAGCAAACAGGAUUAGCUACCCGUGUAGUC
Molecule: ribosomal RNA, 442 nt
Filed under: uncultured bacterium
Lineage: Bacteria
Description: partial 16S ribosomal RNA
Rfam family: Bacterial small subunit ribosomal RNA
Source: RNAcentral